This 468-nucleotide ribosomal RNA is filed under the name uncultured bacterium. RNAcentral's name for it is "partial 16S ribosomal RNA". It matches the Rfam family "Bacterial small subunit ribosomal RNA", at positions 38 to 507 of the family's 1533-position model. The record is from RNAcentral.
GGGGGGGGGGGGGGGGGGGGUUGGGAGAGGGGGGGGGAGCGGAGAGGGCGGGCGUGGGGGGGGGGGUCGGGUGGCGGACGGGGGAGGAAAACGGGAGUGACGGGGGCGGGACUGUGGGGUAGCUUCAGGAAGGUGGGGGUGAUACCGGAUAGGAGCUGAUGCUGCAUGUGGGGGGUUGGAAAGUUUCGGCGGUUUGGUAUGGACUCGCGUCUUAUCAGCUUGGGGGUGGGGUAGUGUCUUACCAAGGCUUUGACGGGUAGCCGGCCUGAGAGGGUGACCGGCCACAUUGGGACUGAGAUACGGCCCAGACUCCUACGGGAGGCAGCAGUGGGGAAUAUUGCACAAUGGGCGGAAGCCUGAUGCAGCAACGCCGCGUGCGGGAUGACGGCCUUCGGGUUGUAAACCGCUUUCGCCUGUGACGAAGCGUGAGUGACGGUAAUGGGUAAAGAAGCACCGGCUAACUACGUG